AACGAACGCUGGCGGCAUGCCUAACACAUGCAAGUCGAACGAGACCUUCGGACCUAGUCGCGCACUGGUGCGUAACGCGUGGGGACCUGCCCUUAGGUUCGCAUUGACUCCCCGAAUGGGGUGCUAAUACCGGAUAUUGUCUUCCGACCAAAGAUUUAUCGACUUUGGAUGGUCCCGAGUUGGAUUAGCUAGUUGGUAGGGUAAAAGCCUACCAAUGCGACGAUCCAUAGCUGGUUUGAGAGGAUGAUCAGCCACACUGGUACUGAGACACGGCCCAGAAUCUUACGGGAGGCAGGAGUGGCGAAUAUUGGAAAAUGGGCGAAAGGCUGAUCGAGCAAUGAUGGGUGAGUGAUGAAGGCUGUAGGGUUGUAAAGCUAGUUUACACGGGAUGAUAAUGACAGUACCGGGAGAAUAAGCACCGGCUAACUUCGUG
Molecule: ribosomal RNA, 433 nt
Filed under: uncultured bacterium
Lineage: Bacteria
Description: partial 16S ribosomal RNA
Rfam family: Bacterial small subunit ribosomal RNA
Source: RNAcentral